RNAcentral lists this small RNA (127 nucleotides) under Marmota monax (woodchuck). Lineage: Eukaryota; Metazoa; Chordata; Mammalia; Rodentia; Sciuridae. The record is from RNAcentral.
GCUGGGUGUGGUGGCACACACCUGUAAUCCCAGCAACUCAGGAGGCUGAGGCAGAAGGAUUUUGAGUUCAAAGUCAGUUUCAGCAACUUAGCAAGGCACUAAGCAACUUAGUGAGACCCUGUCUCAA